GAGAUUGGUUAAUUGACCAAAUUCCAAGAGUCCAUGCAAAGGUCUAAUAAGCGAGGCCGUCUGAUGGAAAACUUCAAGGGCUUUCAUCUCUGUCAAGGCUGCUUUUGGCAAAUGCAACAACUCCCUGUCAAAAAUACGUUGCUUCAACAACAAUAUCUUGAGUUUUGGGCAGUCCAAGCAUCAGGAAAUUGAAUUUGAGAAAUCUUAUUUUCCAUUAUUGAGAUGGCAGUGUAAUGCUUCAUAUUUUUCAUACUUGGCCAACCCUCCAACUUUUUGACACGGUCUCUCACCAAAUAAUCUGACGCCAUUGAUAAGGCAACAUCACGCACGACAUCAUGCAUUUUGACGCAGCCU
RNAcentral lists this unclassified non-coding RNA (354 nucleotides) under Hevea brasiliensis (rubber tree). The record is from RNAcentral. Lineage: Eukaryota; Viridiplantae; Streptophyta; Magnoliopsida; Malpighiales; Euphorbiaceae.